Molecule: ribosomal RNA, 246 nt
Filed under: uncultured bacterium
Lineage: Bacteria
Description: partial 16S ribosomal RNA
Rfam family: Bacterial small subunit ribosomal RNA
Source: RNAcentral
UACAGAGGUCCCCGAGCGUUGUUCGGAUUCACUGGGCGUAAAGGGUGCGCAGGUGGCCUGAUAAGUUUGAUGUGAAAGCUCAGGGCUUAACCCUGAAAUGGCAUUGAAUACUAUUGGGCUGGAGGUUUGGAGGGGGACUGGAAUUCUCGGUGUAGCAGUGAAAUGCGUAGAUAUCGAGAGGAACACCAGUGGCGAAGGCGAGUCCCUGGACAACACCUGACACUGAGGCACGAAAGCUAGGGGAGC